RNAcentral lists this ribosomal RNA (406 nucleotides) under uncultured bacterium. RNAcentral's name for it is "partial 16S ribosomal RNA". It matches the Rfam family "Bacterial small subunit ribosomal RNA", at positions 30 to 526 of the family's 1533-position model. The record is from RNAcentral.
AUUGAACGCUGGCGGCAGGCCUAACACAUGCAAGUCGAACGAGUGGCGGACGGGUGAGUAAUGUCUGGGAAACUGGCCGAUGGAGGGGGAUAAAUACUGGAAACGGUAGCUAAUAACGCGUACUAUCGGAUGUGCCCAGAUGGGUUUGGCUUGUAGGUGAGGUAACGGCUCACCUAGGCGACGAUCCCUAGCUGGUCUGAGAGGAUGACCAGCCAAAUUGGAACUGGGCCACGGCCCAGACUCCUACGGGAGGCAGCAGUGGGGAAUAUUGCACAAUGGGCGAAAGCCUGAUGCAGCCAUGCCGCGUGUAUGAAGAAGGUCUUCGGGUUGUAAAGUACUUUCAGCGGGGAGGCGUUACCCGCAGAAGAAGCACCGGCUAACUCCGUGCCAGCAGCCGCGGUAAUAC